This is a long non-coding RNA of Rhineura floridana, 815 nucleotides long. RefSeq lists it as uncharacterized. The record is from RefSeq and is a predicted model, not a curated record. NCBI's taxonomy places the organism in Eukaryota, Metazoa, Chordata, Lepidosauria, Squamata, Rhineuridae. The transcript has 2 exons.
CACAUCAUCCGGACGGGGAUGGAUACGUUGAUGGCUAAUGAAGAGUUUACCUUUUUUGCAGUGAUGCCUCACUUCCUGUGGAAACACAACAGGGAGCUGUAUAAAAGGCCCACCACCCCAGACCUCUGCAUUCAAACACUGGGAUCCACAACUCUCCAUUCACCACUGAACAAGGUUACCUUCCAGUCGCAAAGAUGGGUGCUGGCUGUUGUAGCUCUGCAGACCGUGGACCAAACGUCAUUUGUGUCCCCUGCGGCGGCGGCGGUGGCGGUGGCUGCAACUCGUGCUGUUCUCCCAUGAGCUACUCUUCCCCCAUGAGCUAUGGUGCUUGCCAGUGCUAUAGCUCUGGCGGCUGUGGCUGCUACAGUGGCGGCUGCAAUGGUGGCGGCUGCAAUGGCGGCUGCUCUAUCUACAUGGUCUCUAAUGGAAGAAGGUCCUCCUGCUGUGGUGGUUGCUGACACUUUGGACAUUCAACUCAGCCCACAGUAACAACAUGACCUGUGCGAUGUCUGGAAUAACCUCAGCACCAUCAACGUCCCUUUGAAGACCUGUUGGUUGAUCUCCUGUUCUCCUCUUUGCUAUGUCAUAAACCCUUAAGCUUUGCCCCUGCCACUUAUAAUAAUGCUCUUAUUAUCUUCUCUUUGAAAGAGCUUUUUUUUCUGCCACCAUGUCCUAAUAAAGCAAAGGAGGCAUGACUAUUGCAUAGACUUGGAUGAUUAGGCUUUCCCUUCUUCCCCUUCUUUCUAGGCUAUGGAAUUGUCUUGUCCUUCACACUGUUGCACAAAUAAUAAUAAUAAUAAAAUGAUUAUAAUGUU